Molecule: long non-coding RNA, 1621 nt
Organism: Oncorhynchus keta (chum salmon)
Lineage: Eukaryota; Metazoa; Chordata; Actinopteri; Salmoniformes; Salmonidae
Exons: 3
Source: RefSeq, a predicted model, not a curated record
UAAUAAUGAUAAUAAUAAUGAUAAUGAUAAUGAUAAUAAUAAUAAUAAUAUUAAUGAUAAUAAUAAUAAUGACAAUAAUAACAAUAAUAAUGAGUAAGGAUAUUAGCAAGGAAGUUGUAGAAAACCCCCAGAGGCAACAUACUGAUCAACUGCCUGUUACUGUGCUGUCUGAAGAGGUCUCCAACACACCAUGUCUGUUACUGUGCUGUCUGAAGAGGUCUCCAACACACCAUGUCUGUUACUGUGCUGUCUGAAGAGGUCUCCAACACACCAUGUCUGUUACUGUGCAGUCUGAAGAGGUCUCCAACACACCAUGUCUGUUACUGUGCUGUCUGAAGAGGUCACCAACACACCAUGUCUGUUACUGUGCAGUCUGAAGAGGUCUCCAACACACCAUGUCUGUUACUGUGCUGUCUGAAGAGGUCACCAACACACCAUGUCUGUUACUGUGCAGUCUGAAGAGGUCUCCAACACACCAUGUCUGUUACUGUGCAGUCUGAAGAGGUCUCCAACACACCAUGUCUGUUACUGUGCUGUCUGAAGAGGUCACCUACACACCAUGUCUGUUACUGUGCUGUCUGAAGAGGUCACCAACACACCAUGUCUGUUACUGUGCAGUCUGAAGAGGUCUCCAACACACCAUGUCUGUUACUGUGCAGUCUGAAGAGGUCACCUACACACCAUGUCUGUUACUGUGCAGUCUGAAGAGGUCACCAACACACCAUGUCUAUCACUGUGCAGUCUGAAGAGGUCACCAACACACCAUGUCUGUUACUGUGCAGUCUGAAGAGGUCACCUACACACCAUGUCUGUUACUGUGCUGUAUAAACGCUUGCCUUUCUCCAUCCGUCUUGUGCCUGUGAUGCCCCAUUGUGACAACACACACACACACACACACACACACACACACACACACACACACACGUCAGAAGGACUGGAGAGCAGAGCAUGCUGGGAGCUAAGGCGAUGGUCGCCCAAUUGCAGCCCUAUGCGGAAGCAUAGCUGUCAUUAGGGCCCAACGUCGCCAAAUAAAAAUGGGCACAUACACACCACACACACACACACACACACACACACACACACACAAAAAAUCCUAUCCAUCUGCCAUAGCAGCAGGGUAGGGUAAGGGCCAGCGAAGCACUUUCCUGCCAUUCCCUGUCAUGCUUCCGCCCGCCCGGCUAGUGCUUACUAACACUACACACACACACACACACACACACACACACACACACACACACACACACACACACACACACACACACACACACACACACACACACACACACACACACACACACACACACACACACACACACACACACACACACACACACACACACACACAGGAGCUGUGUAUAAACAGCUCGGCCUGCCACACUGGUACCAUCACAGAAAGCAGAAAAGCACCCUGACCAUAUUCCCUUUCUUUUUCUCUUUCCUUCUUUUUAUCCGGUGAGAAAGCAAGCUGGCCCGGCCGUUGCCAUCUGACAACCUGUCAACCUUGUCCUUCAGAUGAUGCCCGGGUGAAUACCGGACCUGACACAUAAAUGUUUCUGCACCUUGAAAGCAAAGCGUACUGCACUUUGCCACUGUCCUCUCGCCUGUUCUUGUGUAACAAGAG